GAUGAAGAACGUAGUGAAAUGCGAUAAGUAAUGUGAAUUGCAGAAUUCAGUGAAUCAUCGAAUAUUUGAACGCACAUUGCGCCCGCCAGUAUUCUGGCGGGCAUGCCUGUUCGAGCGUCAUUACAACCCUCAGGCCCCCGGGCCUGGCGUUGGGGAUCGGCGGAGCCCCCCGUGGGCACACGCCGUCCCCCAAAUGCAGUGGCGGUCCCGCCGCAGCUUCCAUCGCGUAGUAGCUAACACCUCGCGACUGGAGAGCGGCGCGGCCACGCCGUAAAACACCCAACUCUUCUGAAGUUGACCUCGAAUCAGGUAGGAAUACCCGCUGAACUUAAGCAUAUCAAUAAGCGGAGGA
Molecule: unclassified non-coding RNA, 352 nt
Filed under: soil metagenome
Description: partial contains 5.8S ribosomal RNA, internal transcribed spacer 2, and large subunit ribosomal RNA
Rfam family: 5.8S ribosomal RNA (bases 1-120)
Source: RNAcentral